RNAcentral lists this ribosomal RNA (490 nucleotides) under uncultured bacterium. RNAcentral's name for it is "partial 16S ribosomal RNA". It matches the Rfam family "Bacterial small subunit ribosomal RNA", at positions 30 to 507 of the family's 1533-position model. The record is from RNAcentral.
UGAACGCUGGCGGUAGGCCUAACACAUGCACGUCGAACGGCAGCACAGUAAGAGCUUGCUCUUACGGGUGGCGAGUGGCGGACGGGUGAGGAAUACAUCGGAAUCUACUUUUUCGUGGGGGAUAACGUAGGGAAACUUACGCUAAUACCGCAUACGACCUACGGGUGAAAGCAGGGGAUCUUCGGACCUUGCGCGAUUGAAUGAGCCGAUGUCGGAUUAGCUAGUUGGCGGGGUAAAGGCCCACCAAGGCGACGAUCCGUAGCUGGUCUGAGAGGAUGAUCAGCCACACGGGAACUGAGACACGGUCCAGACUCCUACGGGAGGCAGCAGUGGGGAAUAUUGGACAAUGGGCGCAAUCCUGAUCCAGCCAGACCGCGUGGGUGAAGAAGGCCUUCGGGUUGUAAAGCCCUUUUGUUGGGAAAGAAAAGCAGCUGGUUAAUACCCCGCUGUUCUGACGGUACCCAAAGAAUAAGCACCGGCUAACUUCGUG